This 840-nucleotide long non-coding RNA is filed under the name Anas platyrhynchos platyrhynchos (common mallard). RNAcentral describes it as "lncRNA (ENSAPLG00000021736.1)". The record is from RNAcentral. Lineage: Eukaryota; Metazoa; Chordata; Aves; Anseriformes; Anatidae.
AUGUUUUAUUUUUCUGUUGCUGAUCUGUGUGUCACACUCGUGGAUCUGUUCCUGCCAGCGUUUAGACAAGGGGUUGCCUGGCUGGGAUAUCCAGAGCCUUGUCAGAACACGCAAGGCAGGACUAAGGGACACAGCUUGAAGUUACAGCCUCCCUUGGUGCAGACUGGGUGUCCCAGACUUAAAGUGGUGUCUGUAGUGGGAAGAGGAGCUGCUGUAUCCCAAGUGGAAUCCCUGAUGCUGCCUCUACUAUCCACUGAAGGACUCAUCAUUGUGUGAAUAUUCCAUGAGUGGAUGAAUAACACUUUGGCACCUCUUCACACUUCCCAUCAUCAGAAAGGUGAUGCUGGGGAAAGAAUAACCAUUGCAUUUUUAUUCUAGAAAAGCAUAACAUAGAGAAGGACGUGCUCUCUCUACUGUUUCUUUGAACACUUCUGUCAGCACUAGUCUCCCUGCAAUCCCUUUCUUUUCCUUAGUACGAGGGAGUGGCUAUCAAGAAGAUGUGCUCCAUGACUCUGGGUGGUACUUAGUACGAGUCAAUGAACAUUGAAUUUUCACAGCAAAGUAAUUCAACUUGCUCUCAUUGCACAGCUCUGUAGAGGCCAGGCUUCAACCAUUCUCUUCAGUGUGGGCACUAUGUCAUUUCUCUGGUUACCAUUGAAUCUCCAAGUUUCUGUCACUUGCUUUUUCUUCUUGCAGUAACCUAAGGAACGAAUGCUGUUGAUCAACAAGCAGGUAGCUUAAAUAUUAAGAGAAAUGUAGUACAGGUAUGCCAGGGUGCGGGGACUUCAGUCUGAAAUACCUUCCAUAAAUAAAAGAUCAUAUGAUUAUUGUACUUUCCCA